GGUCUUAGGCCGCUGAGAACUGUAGCGUAUAGGUGUGACUGUCCUGCUAUAUUGCAUUUCCGAAGUCUCUUUGAUAGGGGCCAACAUCCAGAGAGGGUGCGAGACCUGUACGGAAAGUAGUAUAGUUGGUAUGGUUACUCCUUGGAGUCGGGUUGCUUGAAAGUGCAGCCUAAAGUUGGUGAUAAACUUCAUCUAAGGCUAAAUAUCGACGCGAAAUCGAUAGCAAACAAGUACCGUGAGGGAAAGUUGCAAAGAACUUUGAAGAGAGAGUUCAAGAGAACGUGAAAUCGCUGAAGUGGAACCGGAGAGAGUUAACAUAACUUGGUAGCUAUAUCCUCUAAAGUCGCUUAACUGUGGCUCUGGGGGGUGGACGCUACCUGUUGUUGCACUGACUGCGUUGAUUGUGCUUUCCGAACAGUAUAGUGUUGCCCACUUUGUGGUGUCUUGCUUUCUGGGAGGUUUGUCAUAAUUAACGUAAAGCCAAUUCCCUUUGGAGUCAGUGUGAAAGUUAACCACCUUUCCGACCCGUCUUGAAACACGGACCGAGGAGUGUAAUUUAUACGCGAGUCAAGGGGUGGUGAAAACCCUAGGGGCGGAAUGAAAGUAAAGGCCGGUUAACCGGUUGACAUGGGAUCCGCUCUUCGGAGCGGCGCACCAUGGCCCUGUCUUGUCUGCUUGCAGAUGGGCAGCGGUAGAGCGUAUAGUUUGCGACCCGAAAGAUGGUGAACUAUGCUUGAGCAGGACGAAGCCAGA
Molecule: ribosomal RNA, 753 nt
Filed under: Heterorhabditis bacteriophora
Lineage: Eukaryota; Metazoa; Nematoda; Chromadorea; Rhabditida; Heterorhabditidae
Description: eukaryotic LSU rRNA
Rfam family: Eukaryotic large subunit ribosomal RNA
Source: RNAcentral